ACUUUGUGAUGUGUGCAUUUAUAAAAAAGGUCCUUAAAGCACUCCCAUGUAUCAAAAAUUGCUCACCAUCUAUUUGUGAAAAAUUGGUAAUUGCCAUCCUAAACU
Small nucleolar RNA from Malania oleifera, 105 nucleotides. The record is from RefSeq and is a predicted model, not a curated record. NCBI's taxonomy places the organism in Eukaryota, Viridiplantae, Streptophyta, Magnoliopsida, Santalales, Ximeniaceae.